GAUGAACGCUGGCGGCGUGCCUAAUACAUGCAAGUAGAACGCACAAGUGAGGAGCUUGCUCCUCUUGCGUUAGCGGCGGACGGGUGAGUAACACGUGGGUAACCUGCCUUUUAGAGUGGGAUAACUUUGGGAAACCGGAGCUAAUACCGGAUAACAAUUUGUAACACAUGGCUUUAAUGUGAAAGACGCAUUUGCUGUACCUUAAGAAUGGAUCCGCGUCGCAUUACCUAGUUGGUAAGUAAACGGCCUACCAAGGGAACGAUGAGAAGCCGACCUGAAGGGGUGAUCGGCAACACUGGAACUGAGACACGGCCCAGACUCCUACGGGAGGCAGCAGUAGGGAAUCUUCCGCAAUGGGCGAAAGCCGGACGGAGCAACGCCGCGUGAGGGAUGAAGGUCUUCGGAUCGUAAAACUCGUUUAUUAGGGAAGAACAAAUGUGUAAGUAACUAUGCACGUCUUGACGGUACCUAAUCAGAAAGCCACGGCUAACUACGUG
This 497-nucleotide ribosomal RNA is filed under the name uncultured bacterium. RNAcentral describes it as "partial 16S ribosomal RNA". It matches the Rfam family "Bacterial small subunit ribosomal RNA", at positions 28 to 507 of the family's 1533-position model. The record is from RNAcentral.